Molecule: ribosomal RNA, 402 nt
Filed under: uncultured bacterium
Lineage: Bacteria
Description: bacterial SSU rRNA
Rfam family: Bacterial small subunit ribosomal RNA
Source: RNAcentral
UGGGGAAUCUUGCACAAUGGGGGCAACCCUGAUGCAGCGACGCCGCGUGAGCGAUGAAGCCCUUCGGGGCGUAAAGCUCUUUCGACCGGAACGAUAAUGACGGUACCGGGAGAAGAAGCUGCGGCUAACUACGUGCCAGCAGCCGCGGUAAUACGUAGGCAGCAAGCGUUGUUCGGAGUUACUGGGCGUAAAGAGUGCGUAGGCGGUUUUCUAAGUUCGGUGUGAAAUCUCCCGGCUUAACUGGGAGGGUGCGCCGAAGACUGGGAAGCUGGAGUGUGGGAAAGGCAGGCGGAAUUCCUGGUGUAGCGGUGAAAUGCGUAGAUAUCAGGAGGAACACCGGCGGUGUAGACGGCUUGCUAGACCAUAACUGACGCUGAGGCACGGAAGCGUGGGUAGCAAACA